RNAcentral lists this long non-coding RNA (609 nucleotides) under Equus asinus (donkey). Its description in RNAcentral is "lncRNA (ENSEASG00005035529.1)". The record is from RNAcentral. Lineage: Eukaryota; Metazoa; Chordata; Mammalia; Perissodactyla; Equidae.
GGUUAUAAGUGUUAUGGACAAAAUGAAGCAGGUCUCAGAUUGUGUCUGCUCCCCAGACUUCUGACGGAGAACAUGACCCAUCCUGAGGAGAAAGAAAGAAAGAAGAUCAGCCAGGAAAAACUGUGAAAGACUUUCAAAUGGUCGAAAAAGCUGACUGGGUAUCUUUUCAAUGGAAUACUGGCAUUGUCUCAUGGACUUCACACUGGUGAUCUUUGAUCUACAGAAGUGUGCCUUUGUUUCUUUUUCUAGGCUAUUGUACAGCUUUGUAGCAACAGAUGUUAACUCAUGGAACACUGAGAGGAAUACAGUUGAUUCCUGUCCUAGGCAAUGCACACGAUUUCUCUCUGAUAGAGAACAUAAAGUUCUAUAAAUAAAAUCCUCACUUGAACCACUCUUAGCACUUUUACUGGUUUCCUCGUUAAUAAGUUAAAUGAACUCUUUGGCACCUGUUCUUUAUAUAUAUUAACCUUUUUUGAAACUCAUCUUUUAUCAGGACAUAUGCGGCUUUCACUCUAAAGCUGUUACCAGAAGAAACAAAACAGUACAAAAUCUAGGGUUAAAUUUGGGGGGAGGAAAGAACAUAAGCACAGCAAAUGAGGAAGUCCUGUG